This 461-nucleotide ribosomal RNA is filed under the name uncultured Glomus. Its description in RNAcentral is "SSU rRNA". It matches the Rfam family "Eukaryotic small subunit ribosomal RNA", at positions 569 to 1037 of the family's 1831-position model. The record is from RNAcentral. Lineage: Eukaryota; Fungi; Glomeromycota; Glomeromycetes; Glomerales; Glomeraceae.
AGCAGCCGCGGUAAUUCCAGCUCCAAUAGCGUAUAUUAAAGUUGUUGCAGUUAAAAAGCUCGUAGUUGAAUUUCGGGAUCAAUUUAUUGGUCGUGCUACUGUACGUACUGGUAUUAUUGAUUCCUACCUUCUGACGAACCAUGAUGUCAUUAAUUUGGUGUCAUGGGGAAUCAGGACUGUUACUUUGAAAAAUUAGAGUGUUUAAAGCAGGCUCACGCUUGAAUACAUUAGCAUGGAAUAACGAAAUAGGACGUUUGAUUCUAUUUUGUUGGUUUCUAGGAUCGACGUAAUGAUUAAUAGGGAUAGUUGGGGGCAUUAGUAUUCAAUUGCCAGAGGUGAAAUUCUUGGAUUUAUUGAAGACUAACUACUGCGAAAGCAUUUGCCAAGGAUGUUUUCAUUAAUCAAGAACGAAAGUUAGGGGAUCGAAGACGAUUAGAUACCGUGUAGUCUUAACCAUAAAC